RNAcentral lists this ribosomal RNA (32 nucleotides) under Aponogeton capuronii. RNAcentral describes it as "partial 26S ribosomal RNA". The record is from RNAcentral. Lineage: Eukaryota; Viridiplantae; Streptophyta; Magnoliopsida; Alismatales; Aponogetonaceae.
CCAGGUCAGGCGGGGCCACCCGCUUAGUUUAA